RNAcentral lists this transfer RNA (72 nucleotides) under Dipodomys ordii (Ord's kangaroo rat). It matches the Rfam family "tRNA". Rfam says of the family: Transfer RNA (tRNA) molecules are approximately 80 nucleotides in length. Their secondary structure includes four short double-helical elements and three loops (D, anti-codon, and T loops). Lineage: Eukaryota; Metazoa; Chordata; Mammalia; Rodentia; Heteromyidae. The record is from Rfam by way of RNAcentral.
GGGAAGGUGGCUCAGUAGUAGAGUGCUUGCCUUGCAUGCAUGAGGCCCUGAGUUUGAUUCCUCAGCACCCCA